GACGAUGGAAACGACGGUGAUUACCACGGACGCACGGCGGCGGCGGCGGCGCGUAGCUCGGAUUUCUCCGGUUUCGAAAAGACCCCGAUCGAUCGAGGUCUUUGGAAAGGUUCGAUCAGGUUGCGAUUGAGUUUGUGAUCGAGGAGACGGGUUGCUGUUCUUUUCAAAAGGGAGGAGUGAGGGAAGAGAAUGCGGAAGAAAGAGAUGGUGGGGCAGCGAAGAUCGACGAGAGAUUGCCGAAUUGCGCACGCUUUUGCAAUGGGGAUGGCCCUGGGCGAAUUCUGGGCUUUUCUUCGACUGGACGGCUUUUUGAGGCCCGGAAUUUCAUCGGCCUGAGGUUUCUAACGCCUGCCAGUGGGUUUGUCUUUAAGGAAGGUGGGAAAUUCAGACUCAUGUUUCAGAAGCAUGUUCGCGCCUAAUUUGUUUUUUACGUGAAAACUGAUCAACCUGUUAACCUAAAACACUUCUCUGCUCACUUAUUGCACUGUCUUCGUGGAUUCCAACUCUGCCUGCGGUGAGCUACUUUAUCGAUCACCGUUCGUUUAGUUUUUGGGAAGUGGUGUGCUCACAGAGGAUUUCUUUUGUACCUCAGAGUUUUAUUCCUUUGAUUUCAACUUUGUCCUGCUUUGGUCACUACUUGUUCUUCACUGAUGAGCUACGAAUGUGUUCUCACGGCCAGUUUGACUUGGGGACUGACAACAUGGGAUUGAUCACUUGCCACUUUACCAUCUGUUGAACAUUUCGCUGCUGAUUUUAAGUGGUUCUUGUUCGAAUACUGUUUAGUCAAGGAAGAAAAUAACCCCUAAAUGUUUUGGUUAUGCUUCUUUGAAGGUUUCUAAUCGCCGUGAUAUUCUGUAUUGGUUCGCUGGUUGGCGUUUUACAUAUUAUUUUUCGUUUUGACCUGACUUUAGGUUCACAUUGCAACUUUACAUCGCUGCAAAGUUUUGUUUCAUGGCUCCUUAGAGGAGACCCAUCAGAUGUAAACAGGGAGCAUGCGUCAGUGGAUAUUGAGCUCAGGGUAAGGCCAGCAUGUUGGUAUCGUGUCUUUCUAGGAUAUCUGAUUUCAUCUGAACCGAUGAAUUGACUUUAUGAUCAUGAAUCGGGACGGAGACGUUUUACCUUUGAAAGCUAAAGUGGUAAUGCUUGGAAGAGAGCCAGGAUGGCUUCAGAAGGAAACCAUGAAAUUGAUUCCAUUUAAGUUAAAGAACGACGUGCAAUAGUAAGAGAAAAUCUCAGAGAAAAGCAGGGCGAGUCAUUAUUACCCUUGGCCAAGUUAAGGUCUGCAGGCACUGUGAAAAGUACACGGACAAAUCAGGUGGUGAAACCGGAUGAAUCUGUCAACCCCGAGCUUGCUGCACUCUUGAAGAAGGUUGCCGUCACUAGAGAGUUGGUCAGCAUCUUGAAUAACAAUGUCUGAGAAAUGCCACAGGAAGUGGUCUAUGUAGAGUCACAUGGCUCUGGUUUUUACAGAUCUGUAUCAUUAUUCUGCGCAGUUGUUAGAAGCUAGCUUAUAGUCUGCCUUGAUUUUGUAUAUUGCAAGAAGAUGUUGGUGGAGCAGUCAUGAAUCCGUCAUAAGGCUAUUGUAUCCACAAGAACUCACAAUGUUAGGUGAUUAUUAUAUCAUGCUUUCUCUUCGUCUAAUUUCCCUCAUUCAUAGUUUGCGAGCAUCUUAAGGGUGAGCAUGACAAAUUACUUGGUUGUUGCAUUAGACGAGAUUGCCUCAUUUUGUAAUGAGCACAACGUGUCUGUCUACAAACGAGACGCUACGAUUUCAAUAUACGAAAUUCAAGGCGCGUUAAUCCCUGUAUUUCCAGCAGUUUGUGCAAUUCAGGUUUGUACGUUUCUUACAACUGCCUUAACUUUUUAUUUUUAUUUUUAUAAGGCUUACCCAAGCGUCCACUGUUUUCAGGUUUGGAGUUUGACCUUCUGUGGAAGUUUCUUGUACUUGGCUGCGAUGUGCUCCUUAACGACGUCGACAUUGUUUACCUCCAAAACUCUUGCACAACUCCAGCACAAGAGUAUGACUUGAGAGUGUCAGAUGGAUUUGACGAUCCAACAGCCUACGGGUAUGAUGAUGUUUCGGAAGAUCCUUCCAUGGCCUGAUCGAAAUUUGCGGAUACCAUACGGAUCUGGGUGUUCAAUAUAGGGCUCUUCUAUAUUCGAUCCUCAGUCCCCUCUGUUCAGAUGCUGGACCGAAUAACUACAAGGCCAAGCAAAGAAAAGGCUAGGGACCAAGCAAUAUAUAACGAAGAAUUAUUUAUCCCUUCA
This is a non-coding RNA of Physcomitrium patens, 2268 nucleotides long. Lineage: Eukaryota; Viridiplantae; Streptophyta; Bryopsida; Funariales; Funariaceae. The record is from RefSeq and is a predicted model, not a curated record.